Molecule: long non-coding RNA, 3857 nt
Organism: Aethalodelphis obliquidens (Pacific white-sided dolphin)
Lineage: Eukaryota; Metazoa; Chordata; Mammalia; Artiodactyla; Delphinidae
Exons: 3
Source: RefSeq, a predicted model, not a curated record
CCUUUAUAUCCUGGCUCCUCCCUUACCUCUCUGGAAAGUUCCACAAUGCUAUCUAAGAGGCUGUUUACAUACUAUAAUCCUCAGUAAUAUCCUCGAAUAAAUCAUAAUUCUCAACUUUUAGGUUGUGCAUUGUUUUUUUCAGUUGAUAGACUUCUGGAAUAGGCUUUUUUUGUUUUAGCGAUCAUUUCUCUCAAAAGGAAAGCCUCACUACAAGCUCCCUGUAUCAUCUCCUGUACAGAAAAAGGAACUGAGACAAACACAAAGAAGUUAAGAAAUGAGUCAUCCACGAGCACUGAUGUCAGCAAAAUGGCAGAAUGGGCGGCUCCAAACUCCUGUCCCUCUACACAAACACUGACAAACAAGCAGCACCUGUCAGAACCAACUUUGCCAGAACUCUUGAGAAGGGUCAGAAGUUUACGUCAACCAAGCAAAUGCUGAAUUAAGAAAAAGGCCACUUAAAAACGGCUCGACCUGAAUUUAUACCAUUAGUGAAAAAGUUUUAUUCGGGGAUCUUACUGAGGACUAUAUCCUGGGAGAUGGCCUCUCAGAUGCUCCGAGAAACUACUCUGAAGAGAAACUGCAUCCAGACCCCCCGACAAGAUGGUUACUUUGAGACAUUAGUCUGCCAUCUUCUCUGUCUGCUGGCUUUCUGAAUGAAGUUGUACUCCUCACCUCAACACCUCGUCUCCGAUUUAUUGGCCUGCUGUGCAGCCAGCGGAGCGAGCUUGGACCCGGUAACAACUGGACAUUUGUUACAAUCAAUGAACCUACAUUGACACAUCAUAAUCACCCAGAGUCCAGGGUUUACAUCAGAGUUCACUCUUGGUGGUGUACAUUCUAUGGGUUUGGAUAAAUGUAUAUGACAUGUACCUACCAUUACAGUGUCCUACAAGAUUAUUUUCACUGCCCUAAUUAUCUCCUUAGCUCCCAGAAAGACCUACUUUGAAUCGUGGAAAUAAAGUCUCCUGGGAUUAGUUCCUAACCAUUUUCAGCCUUCCAACCCCAUGUGGCUGUGGUCAUGACCUUCUGGUCAUAGCUUAUCAGGGUACCAGAGGUGCCACGGGGCCCAGCAUGCAGCCCCCAGGGCACACUAGAGAGGCUGCUUCCAUUGGGACCAGGAUCCAGUAUUUCACUUAUUCUAGGUUCUUCCUGUCCAAGGCCCAAGUCAACCUCCCAACCAGUGGGAUGUAUAAUUCAGUGCUUCCCAGUCUUAGCAGAAUCCCCCGUGGACAGUCAGAAUCUUGACUGAAAGAAAAGAGCUCCAUGCCCACGGGUCCCAGUCACCACUGCUGCUGAUCUCUUGCAGUGGGCUGUGUGAGCUGCCCUAUUAUCUGUGCUUGGCUGGGAGGAGCAAAGCAAGCAAGCACUUGAGAAAUGUUGACCCCUAGGAAGUCCCAGACUCAAAUCCUCCUUAUCCCCUGGGAGGGGCAAACUGAGUAAAAGAGACAAACCAAUUUAACUAAAGACCAACCAAACAAACAAAAACCAUACUUAGAUAUUCUUGCUCUUCUCAUCAGGAGGGCUGGAUUAAGACAUGAGUUCAAAACAAAAACAAUUUAAAUCAGGAAAUAAGUGUAAGGAGUCGGAAAUUUUCACACGAAGACUGCCACAAUAAUUUUUUGAGAAUCCCUAGUUCUCUCCCCCGCACCGCCCCCCCACAUUGCCAUCUAAUCAACAGUUCUUCUCCCCUUCCUCUCCCCCUCCCUCUUCGUGGCCAGAACCCUCUUACUGUUGUCUGAAACAUGUAUCUAGCCCACUCCCUACAUCUGCCAUAAAGCAUCCUUAAGAACAAAGCAAGUGGGAGAAACAUAUCCUGUGAAACUCACCACUUUGGGCUUCUGUCUCCUCUUUUCCCUUGAGAGCUAGAACAGCCAUCAGCAGCUGCUGCUGGGAACCCAAAGGAUUAGGCUGACGAAUGAGGGGCUGCUGGCUGCUGGCAGGGCCUGGUGGAGGAAAGAACCAUUAGAACCUUUCCCCAUGGUCCCUGCUCCCUGCUCCUGGUCAGCCAGCGUCCUGAGGUCUGAGCCACAGAUCACACUCUUGUGAGCUGUGCUCAGACCCCUCAUCUCAGACUCUUUCCCUCUCCCUGAGUGCUUGUCUCUCUCUUACACAAACAUGCAGUUUCAAGUAAGGAACCCUAUCCAGGAAGGUGGCUCAGACAAAGGAAAGAAGUGUCUGGAGAUCUAAGUUCGAAUUAACUUUGCCCCGGGGGCUAAAGUGCAGAGCCCCUCAGAUGCAUGAAAUUUGCUCAGAACUAAUUAGACAAAGCAGAUACUAGCAACAUUCCUCCCCUUCUCCUGUGUUUUACAGUGAAGACAUCCCAGAGAAAAAGUCAGGGGCACAUAAUGAGAGUAAAUACGGUAAUCUGGUCACUUGCAAGUUCAAGUACUGGACUUGGGACUUAGUAGUGCCAGAUGGGGGGCACUUACAGCCUCCCUCUGACCUGGACUGAAAUGUGGGUGACAGACAAGAUUGGAUCAGAUCCUGGGAAAUAAUAACCUAUGACUACAGCACAGGGAAGAGGAAGCACUGCCCUGACCAGAGAGGCAGCCUCUCACCCAAGUGAAGUGUUUGUUCACUCCUGUGAAAAGCAAAAGAUUAAGCUAAUGCUCCAGUCUUUAACAAGGCAACUACUUCAGGGAUAUUGAUGUUUUGAUUGAUCCUUUAUCCCUGAUUGUUCAAAGUGGACCUCAAAGGAGAAGUCACAGCAAAGAAGUUACCACCUAACAGGCAUGGUUUUUCUUUCUCUUUUGCUGCUGCCCCCAGUUCCAUGUGAAAGAAGUGUGGGAACACAAAUGUAUCUUAAGUUUGAGGUCAACAUCGUUGUGGGAUGUGUAUGUGUUGGCCUUGCUGCUCUCCACAUUUCUAAGGUGGAAAAAAUCAUGAAGGGAAUCACUUAUACUGAGUCUCAUUCGUAAUGCUUCCUGAUCCUGCACUUGCCUCCUAGAGAAAUAAUCACAGUGGAAACCUCAACCGUAAUGAACCGCCGUGAGUCAUACAUACACUCAGCCCACUCUCUGUUGCAGCUGGAGCCUCCUGACCCAGAAGGUCGGGGACUGUGGGAGCUAGACAGUGGGAGCAUCCCAGCCCUGGUUCCGCUCAGCCUGCUGAAUUAGCGUUGGCAGACCCUGGGACCAUGGCUGAGACAAAGCAGCAUGACAGUCACAGGGUCUCAAGUCCUCAGUGAGGGGUCCCUCCUAGGCCUGCCACACACUGCACAGCCCUGGGGCUGCGCUGGCUUUGCCCCAGUGAGUUUUCUGUCUCCACUUGCCAGGAGAGGCACCUUGUCCCAUAGAACCGAGCCUCUCCUACAGGUGUCAGCACCACCAAGCCCUCCUCCCCACCUCACAGCCCAGCCUGGCUGAGCCUAUGGCCAGAGACUUUGCUUUAAGGCAAGUCCACAUCUGGGGAUGGUCAGGAGUCACCUCUGAGGCCACUGAACCUUGACUCAGUGAGUCACGUGUGGCAGGCACUAUCCCCGCCAUCCCACGGAUGGCUGUGCGACUCUGCUGCUGGGAAGGCCGAUGGUCACCACCGAGAUGGCCAAGGUAAAUGGAUUAUCUCCACUGGGAUGGGUGUUUGGUCUCUAAAGAUAUGGCCAGAGUCUAAAAUAUUCUAAGCAAGGCCCCAGAGGCUACAGCUUAUUGAAUUAGUUGGUUAAUACAAAAGAUUAUUUUCCCAUACAACAAAAGCACUUAUUUAAAAUACAUUUUAGUUAUAUAAUAAACUUAGUCUAAACAACAGGUUCGCAAACUACGGCUCAGAAGCCAAAUGUGAGCCAUUUGGGGUUCUUUUUUUUAUCAUCUUUAUUGGAGUAUAACUGCUGUACGAUGGUGUGUUAGUUUCUGCUGUUUAAC